RNAcentral lists this long non-coding RNA (248 nucleotides) under Pan troglodytes (chimpanzee). Its description in RNAcentral is "long non-coding RNA NONPTRT010370". Lineage: Eukaryota; Metazoa; Chordata; Mammalia; Primates; Hominidae. The record is from RNAcentral.
AUAAGUAUUAAAUAGUAAAAACUAGCAUUAAAAAUAUCUAGCAUAUCUAGACACAUGUUAUAUGUUAUAGUUAAAUGUUUAAAAAUUAGUUUAUUUCAUGCCUUAUUUAUCUUUAAGAAACGUUAUAGCCUGAUCGCUACAGUGAGCUAUGAUCAUGCCACUGCACUUCAGCCUGGGCAACAGACUGAGAUCCUGUCUCUAUUUAAAAAAAAGUCAUCCAAGCUCUGGUAUUACUUACACUUAAAAAU